RNAcentral lists this non-coding RNA (21 nucleotides) under Caenorhabditis elegans. The record is from RNAcentral. Lineage: Eukaryota; Metazoa; Nematoda; Chromadorea; Rhabditida; Rhabditidae.
AGAACAAACACGGUUACGGAA